Molecule: ribosomal RNA, 497 nt
Filed under: uncultured bacterium
Lineage: Bacteria
Description: partial 16S ribosomal RNA
Rfam family: Bacterial small subunit ribosomal RNA
Source: RNAcentral
GAUGAACGCUGGCGGCGUGCCUAAUACAUGCAAGUCGAACGAACAGACGAGGAGCUUGCUCCUCUGACGUUAGCGGCGGACGGGUGAGUAACACGUGGAUAACCUACCUAUCAGACUGGGAUAACCUCGGGACACCGGAGCUAAUACCGUAUAAUAUAUUGAACCGCAUGGGUCAAUAGUGAGAGACGGUUUUUCUGUAACUACUAGAUGGAUCCGCGCCGCAUUAGCUAGUUGUUAAGGUAACGGGUUACUAAGGCAACGAUGCGUAGCCGACCUGAGAGGGGGAUCGGCCACACUGGAACUGAGACACGGUCCAGGCUCCUACGGGAGGCAGCAGUAGGGAAUCUUCCGCAAUGGGCGAAAGCCUGACGGAGCAACGCCGAGUGAGUGAUGAAGGUCUUCGGAUCGGAAAACUCUGUUAUUAGGGAAGAACAAAUGUGUAAGUAACUAUGCACGUCUUGACGGUAACUAAUCAGAAAGCCACGGCUAACUACGUG